GCAGGGGUAGCCAAGCCUGGCCAACGGCGCUAGAUUCAGGGUCUAGUCCUUAGUGGUCCGAGGGUUCAAAUCCCUUCCCCUGCACCA
This 87-nucleotide transfer RNA is filed under the name Methanomassiliicoccales archaeon PtaB.Bin134. Its description in RNAcentral is "tRNA-Ser". It matches the Rfam family "tRNA". From Rfam's summary of the family: Transfer RNA (tRNA) molecules are approximately 80 nucleotides in length. Their secondary structure includes four short double-helical elements and three loops (D, anti-codon, and T loops). RNAcentral also lists the same sequence under 3 other names. The record is from RNAcentral. Lineage: Archaea; Methanobacteriati; Thermoplasmatota; Thermoplasmata; Methanomassiliicoccales.